Molecule: unclassified non-coding RNA, 304 nt
Filed under: Hevea brasiliensis (rubber tree)
Lineage: Eukaryota; Viridiplantae; Streptophyta; Magnoliopsida; Malpighiales; Euphorbiaceae
Source: RNAcentral
UUGUCAUAAUAUUUAGCUUUUUAAUGACGAACUACAGAUCAUCAUAAGGAAAUUCGUAACAAAAUAUUAAAUUUCUUGUAGUGUUAUAAUAACAAGAAAAUUAUCUCUCAAACCCUAAAAUUCAAUUAUACCCAAUAAACUCACCUCCCAAAUAAAUGGAAUAAAAAAAGCUCUCAAAAUUCAAUUACAAAGUAAGCACUGCUUGCAUAUUUAUAGAGCACUUGGGGCCUAUUUUAUAAAGAGAAAAAGGAGAGGAAAAUGGCAAGGAAAGAGAAAAAGAGUAAUUUAUUUAUUUUAUUGGAAG